GACGAACGCUGGCGGCAGGCCUAACACAUGCAAGUCGAGCGAGAUCUUCGGGUCUAGCGGCGGACGGGUGAGUAACGCGUGGGAAUAUGCCCUUCUCUGCGGAAUAGCCUCGGGAAACUGAGCGUAAUACCGCAUACGCCCUUUGGGGGAAAGAUUUAUCGGAGAAGGAUUAGCCCGCGUUGGAUUAGGUAGUUGGUGGGGUAACGGCCUACCAAGCCGACGAUCCAUAGCUGGUUUGAGAGGAUGAUCAGCCACACUGGGACUGAGACACGGCCCAGACUCCUACGGGAGGCAGCAGUGGGGAAUCUUAGACAAUGGGGGCAACCCUGAUCUAGCCAUGCCGCGUGAGUGAUGAAGGCCUUAGGGUUGUAAAGCUCUUUCAGCUGGGAAGAUAAUGACGGUACCAGCAGAAGAAGCCCCGGCUAACUCCGUG
Molecule: ribosomal RNA, 433 nt
Filed under: uncultured bacterium
Lineage: Bacteria
Description: partial 16S ribosomal RNA
Rfam family: Bacterial small subunit ribosomal RNA
Source: RNAcentral